AUAUACUUUGUCAGCUGAACUAAAGGUGACCACUGUGUUGCCAAAAGCUGACAAAGCUUUGCAGUUAAAGUGUCCCAUACAGAUGCAUCAUCAAAACACAGAGCAUUUUAAAGAUGCGACCUGGAACGUUGCAGAAAGCCAAACUCUACUCAAAAUUGUCAAGAAUUGACAGAUUGCUGAACAAAGUUUGGCGACGCAGAAACAACCUUCAACUUCAGGCAUUCGCAGAGAUACAAAAGAAAAAAACACUAAAGACAAUCGGACUAGAUUGAAAUGUCAAACUUACAUUGUUGACUUGGAGUCCGCGUCUCUUCUACCUGCUGAAUCAAUGAGUGGGGGACAAGAGCGCAGAGCGUAAAACACACCUGGGGAUACAUCCGGCGAAGACCUUCAAAAUAAAAGUGUUUCCGGACAAUUUCUGCCUCUAGAUUUUCAGACUUCUUUACACAGG
Micropterus salmoides (largemouth bass) is the source of this 451-nucleotide long non-coding RNA. RefSeq lists it as uncharacterized. The record is from RefSeq and is a predicted model, not a curated record. Lineage: Eukaryota; Metazoa; Chordata; Actinopteri; Centrarchiformes; Centrarchidae. The transcript has 2 exons.